RNAcentral lists this long non-coding RNA (301 nucleotides) under Brassica napus (rape). RNAcentral's name for it is "long non-coding RNA (BNAP_LNC013006)". The record is from RNAcentral. Lineage: Eukaryota; Viridiplantae; Streptophyta; Magnoliopsida; Brassicales; Brassicaceae.
AACGGGGAUCCAAAAUAGUUUGUGUAUUUUAUUGGCAAAUGAAAAAUAGUUUGUGUAUUUUUAAGAAAUUUUCUUUUCACAAUUUAAACACGUGUUAAUUAAACACUAACGCCGUCGUCACUUCCGUUAAAUAUAGUUAACGCCGUCUAAAAUAAUGUGUAAAAUCUGGAAAUUUCAAAAGUCUGUGUAUUUAAUAGGCAACGAAAAUUAGUCCGUGUAUUAAACAGGGAUCCAAAAUAGUUCGUGUAUUUUAUUAGCAAAUGAAAAUUAGUAUGUGCAUUUUAAAGGAAUUUUUACUUAA